Molecule: ribosomal RNA, 468 nt
Filed under: uncultured bacterium
Lineage: Bacteria
Description: partial 16S ribosomal RNA
Rfam family: Bacterial small subunit ribosomal RNA
Source: RNAcentral
GACGAACGCUGGCGGCGUGCUUAACACAUGCAAGUCGAACGGAAAGGCCCUGCUUUUGUGGGGUGCUCGAGUGGCGAACGGGUGAGUAACACGUGAGUAACCUGCCCUUGACUUUGGGAUAACUUCAGGAAACUGGGGCUAAUACCGGAUAGGAGCUCCUGCUGCAUGGUGGGGGUUGGAAAGUUUCGGCGGUUGGGGAUGGACUCGCGGCUUAUCAGCUUGUUGGUGGGGUAGUGGCUUACCAAGGCUUUGACGGGUAGCCGGCCUGAGAGGGUGACCGGCGACAUUGGGACUGAGGUACGGCCCAGACUCCUACGGGAGGCAGAAGUGGGGAAUAUUGCACAAUGGGCGGAAGCCUGAUGCAGCAACGCCGCGUGCGGGAUGACGGCCUUCGGGUUGUAAACCGCUUUCGCCUGUGACGAAGCGUGAGUGACGGUAAUGGGUAAAGAAGCACCGGCUAACUACGUG